GUCGAGCGGUAGAGAGAAGCUUGCUUCUCUUGAGAGCGGCGGACGGGUGAGUAAUGCCUAGGAAUCUGCCUGGUAGUGGGGGAUAACGCUCGGAAACGGACGCUAAUACCGCAUACGUCCUACGGGAGAAAGCAGGGGACCUUCGGGCCUUGCGCUAUCAGAUGAGCCUAGGUCGGAUUAGCUAGUUGGUGAGGUAAUGGCUCACCAAGGCGACGAUCCGUAACUGGUCUGAGAGGAUGAUCAGUCACACUGGAACUGAGACACGGUCCAGACUCCUACGGGAGGCAGCAGUGGGGAAUAUUGGACAAUGGGCGAAAGCCUGAUCCAGCCAUGCCGCGUGUGUGAAGAAGGUCUUCGGAUUGUAAAGCACUUUAAGUUGGGAGGAAGGGCAGUUACCCAAUACGUGAUUGUUUUGACGUUACCGACAGAAUAAGCACCGGCUAACUCUGUGCCAGCAGCCGCGGUAAUACAGAGGGUGCAAGCGUUAAUCGGAAUUACUGGGCGUAAAGCGCGCGUAGGUGGUUAGUUAAGUUGGAUGUGAAAUCCCCGGGCUCAACCUGGGAACUGCAUUCAAAACUGACUGACUAGAGUAUGGUAGAGGGUGGUGGAAUUUCCUGUGUAGCGGUGAAAUGCGUAGAUAUAGGAAGGAACACCAGUGGCGAAGGCGACCACCUGGACUGAUACUGACACUGAGGUGCGAAAGCGUGGGGAGCAAACAGGAUUAGAUACCCUGGUAGUCCACGCCGUAAACGAUGUCAACUAGCCGUUGGGAGCCUUGAGCUCUUAGUGGCGCAGCUAACGCAUUAAGUUGACCGCCUGGGGAGUACGGCCGCAAGGUUAAAACUCAAAUGAAUUGACG
This 859-nucleotide ribosomal RNA is filed under the name uncultured bacterium. Its description in RNAcentral is "bacterial SSU rRNA". It matches the Rfam family "Bacterial small subunit ribosomal RNA", at positions 61 to 915 of the family's 1533-position model. The record is from RNAcentral.